Molecule: ribosomal RNA, 1038 nt
Filed under: Triticum aestivum (bread wheat)
Lineage: Eukaryota; Viridiplantae; Streptophyta; Magnoliopsida; Poales; Poaceae
Description: partial small subunit ribosomal RNA
Source: RNAcentral
GGAAUAGAAGAGUGCAUCUCCGAUGUUGAGGAAGUGAAACUAGUGAAGGAUGUCAAGGGGAAGUUGGAAGAUGCUGUGGUGGAGCCACCAGAAUGGCUCCCAGAUGGUUGGAUCAUGGAGGUCCAACGUGACGACGAUGGUGCCCUGUACAAGUAUUUCAUUUGUCCAGUGCCAGGGGCCAAAUUCAGGAUGAAGGCCGAGGUCCUGAACUACCUUUUCUCCGAGAUGGAUGAGCGCUACUUAGAAGCCAAGGAUCAUGUUGAUCAUAACAUGCUUCUGAAGUCACAUGAAUGGCUUCCAAAAGGGUGGUUGAUUGAGAUCAGAGCGGGCGGAGAAAAUAUGGACAAGAUAUACAAGUUUUAUGUUUACCCGGCAAUGGGAGUACGGGCAUUUUCUAAAGAAGACGUUCUACUGUAUGUUAACGAAAUGAAGAUCUCCAAAUAUGAUACAUAUGGGCAAUGCGACACAAGCUCUCGGGAUAAUAUCCUUGCAGAAGUGGAGUUCAACCCAUCUGGGCUGCCACAUGGAUGGGUGAAAGAAAUGGUAUACAGAAAAACUUUGGAAGGAACAAGGAAAGAUCCGUACUACACAGAACCUGGUAGAAAUUAUGUAUUUAGGACAUUGACGUCCGCAAUUCGCUACCUUCAAACGGGGAACAUUACAAAACGUUCCUUUAUUCAAAGGACAAGUGUCCAUGAAUUGUACAACUUUGAGAAGUCUGCAGAUCUGCAUGAGAGUUUACGCAAAAGACUGGCAAAAAAUGUGAUGAAUGAUAAAACCCAUGCAAGUCCUUCGAGACCUAGAAGAUCAACAGAAGGGAAAAAGAUAAAUAUCAAUGAGCAAAGUUUAGGUAUACAUGAGGAUGUCAACACCUCUACACACUUAGUUCCUCCCAAUGAGCACCAAGAAAUCAAGAAGAAAAACAUGACGGCUAAAGGGAAAGAAGCAUACUCCUCCAAAGCUAUCAAGCGUCCAAGAGGGAGACCACCCAAAGUAGUGAAGCAAACUGAGGGAGGCAUAUCUAAGAAAGAAGAAUAG